Molecule: ribosomal RNA, 440 nt
Filed under: uncultured bacterium
Lineage: Bacteria
Description: partial 16S ribosomal RNA
Rfam family: Bacterial small subunit ribosomal RNA
Source: RNAcentral
CCUACGGGUGGCAGCAGUGGGGAAUAUUGCACAAUGGGGGCAACCCUGAUGCAGCGCCGCCGCGUGAGGGAAGAAGUCUUUCGGUAUGUAAAGCUCUCUCAGCUGGGAAGAAGAUGACGGUACCUGACUAAGAAGCCCCGACUAACUACGUGCCCGCAGCCACGGUCAUACGUAGGGGGCAAGCGUUAUCCGGAUUUACUGGGUGUAAAGGGCGCGUAGACGGGGAGGCAAGUCUGAAGUGAAAGGCAGGGGCUUAACCCCUGAACUGCUUUGGAAACUGCCAUGCUAGAGUGCUGGAGAGGCAAGUGGAAUUCCGAGUGUAGCGGUGAAAUGCGUAGAUAUUCGGAGGAACACCAGUGGCGAAGGCGGCUUACUGGACAGUAACUGACGGUGAGGCUCGAAAGCGUGGGGAGCAAACAGGAUUAGAUACCCGUGUAGUC